GAUGAACGCCGGCGGCGUGCCUAAUACAUGCAAGUCGAGCGAACGGACGAGAAGCUUGCUUCUCUGAUGUUAGCGGCGGACGGGUGAGUAACACGUGGAUAACCUACCUAUAAGACUGGGAUAACUUCGGGAAACCGUAGCUAAUACCGGAUAAUAUUUUGAACCGCAUGGUUCAAAAGUGAAAGACGGUCUUGCUGUCACUUAUAGAUGGAUCCGCGCUGCAUUAGCUAGUUGGUAAGGUAACGGCUUACCAAGGCAACGAUGCAUAGCCGACCUGAGAGGGUGAUCGGCCACACUGGAACUGAGACACGGUCCAGACUCCUACGGGAGGCAGCAGUAGGGAAUCUUCCGCAAUGGGCGAAAGCCUGACGGAGCAACGCCGCGUGAGUGAUGAAGGUCUUCGGAUCGUAAAACUCUGUUAUUAGGGAAGUACAUAUGUGUAAGUAACUGUGCACAUCUUGACGGUACCUAAUCAGAAAGCCACGGCUAACUACGUG
RNAcentral lists this ribosomal RNA (497 nucleotides) under uncultured bacterium. RNAcentral describes it as "partial 16S ribosomal RNA". It matches the Rfam family "Bacterial small subunit ribosomal RNA", at positions 28 to 507 of the family's 1533-position model. The record is from RNAcentral.